Molecule: ribosomal RNA, 546 nt
Filed under: uncultured bacterium
Lineage: Bacteria
Description: bacterial SSU rRNA
Rfam family: Bacterial small subunit ribosomal RNA
Source: RNAcentral
UGGGGAAUAUUGCGCAAUGGGGGGAACCCUGACGCAGCCAUGCCGCGUGAAUGAAGAAGGCCUUAGGGUUGUAAAGUUCUUUCGGUAUUGAGGAAGGUUGAUGUGUUAAUAGCACAUCAAAUUGACGUUAAAUACAGAAGAAGCACCGGCUAACUCCGUGCCAGCAGCCGCGGUAAUACGGAGGGUGCGAGCGUUAAUCGGAAUAACUGGGCGUAAAGGGCACGCAGGCGGUUAUUUAAGUGAGGUGUGAAAGCCCUGGGCUUAACCUAGGAAUUGCAUUUCAGACUGGGUAACUAGAGUACUUUAGGGAGGGGUAGAAUUCCACGUGUAGCGGUGAAAUGCGUAGAGAUGUGGAGGAAUACCGAAGGCGAAGGCAGCCCCUUGGGAAUGUACUGACGCUCAUGUGCGAAAGCGUGGGGAGCAAACAGGAUUAGAUACCCUGGUAGUCCACGCUGUAAACGCUGUCGAUUUGGGGGUUGGGGUUUAACUCUGGCGCCCGUAGCUAACGUGAUAAAUCGACCGCCUGGGGAGUACGGCCGCAAGGUU